GCAGAUAUUGAAUACAGUAAAAAACUGAGGUAAACCCUCUUCAUUCUGUAUUCACUCAUUAUUUGAGUUCAGAAGGCGGUUUAUUGAAUUCUCGAAGGAAGGGUGAAAUUGUUGAUAUUGGAAGACAUUCGAUAGCGAAAGCAACAUCCGAUUCUGAUCUAACGCUAGGUACUAAAGUAUGGGGAUAAAUAGGAUUAGAGACCUAGUAGUCCAUACAUAAACAAUGAGUGUCAACGUCUUUAAUAUAGUCAAUAUAUUUAGGGGGUUUAAAGCUAACGCGUGAAACACCGCCUGGGGAAUGUGGCCGCAAGGUUAAACUCAAAGGAAUUGACGGUGACUUAUACAAGGGGUGGAGAUGUGGUUUUAAUUCGAGA
Molecule: ribosomal RNA, 374 nt
Filed under: Badhamia polycephala
Lineage: Eukaryota; Evosea; Eumycetozoa; Physariida; Physaraceae
Description: SSU rRNA
Rfam family: Bacterial small subunit ribosomal RNA
Source: RNAcentral